RNAcentral lists this long non-coding RNA (2919 nucleotides) under Homo sapiens (human). RNAcentral describes it as "HSALNT0203436". The record is from RNAcentral. Lineage: Eukaryota; Metazoa; Chordata; Mammalia; Primates; Hominidae.
CAGUGAUGAAGGAGAAAGAGCACAGGCAUGUAAAUGAACAUAAUUUCAUACCCCAGCUGUAAUAAUGAUGUGUGAUUUCAGAGCUGCACUUUCUUGUUUCUAUGAAGUUGAAGAUGGCUGUUUAACUUGUUCCGCAAAUAGGAGGCUGCUGAUCACUGCACGGGCAAGCCCAGCCAACUUCUCUCCAUUGACACUCUCUGGUGCCAAGCAGUGUUUCUUAAGGAUGCCAGAUCAGCCUGAGUCUCUGAAUGAGAGUGAAAUAAAGUGAAUGUCCUGUAAUCAACUAACCACCCCCACCCCUGGCCAUAUACAUUGAACUGAAAUGGAUACAAAUUGUGAGAAAAAAAUAAACCUGUGUAGGAUGAAGUAAUUGAUUUUGUUUGAAUGUUAUCCUUGCAAUUUAAUCUGAGUUAUCUCAAACUAUACUGUGCCAAAUACUAAAGUAGAAAUAGUCACUUUUUCUUUGUAACAUUCUGUUUUUUUAUCAUAACCAAAUAUUAUUUUGAGGAGUAAAUGAGGUUAAUAGUCCCCAGGAAUUUUGAGUGACUGUUAGUUUUCACUCAUUCUGCUUCCAUCUAAUCAUGAGUAAACAUUAUUUUUACCAAGGGAAAAAUAAUUGGAUCUGCCCAGAAUCAAAAAUAUUAGUUUAAAACACCUUUGGGAAUGAAUUAAGUAAGUUUAUGGGUAUAUUUUGCUUAUAUAUUUUAUUGAAAUUAUCCUCAAGCUUCCCCAUGAAUCUAGGUAGCAACUGUGCAUAUACAAAAUGAAAUGGUUUACAAUGUCACUGUGUUCUAUUCAUUGUUCCCUAAACCUGCUUCCGGGAAUUAAUGUCCUGAAUGUUCAAAAUAUUUGCUUUUACUAUUGAUGUUAGUGGGAAAAUAAACAAUAGAAAUGUUAAUAAAAUUUAAAAAAAUGAGAAAGCCUGAAUGUGACACAAUUUGAAAAACUAAAUGCUACUUAGAAAAACUGUCUCUUAUUUUAUAAAAUAUUUUUAUUAUUAUUUUUAGAUUUCACAUGUGAGUGCAACCUUUCAGUGCUUGUCCUUCUGUGCCUGGCUCAUUUAACUCAACAUAAUGCCCACCUAGUUCAUCCAUAUCCAUGCAAAUGGUAGAAGUAAAGAGUGGAAUAGUGGUUAUCAGAGUCUGGGGAGGGAUGGGGGAGGGAAGACUGGGAGAGGAUGAGCAAUGGAUGCAAAGUUACAAUUAAACAGGAAGAAUAAUCUUUGAUGUUCUAUUACUCAGUAGGGUAAGUACAGCAAAUAGCAAUGCAGUGUAUAUUACAAGAUGGUUAGAAAUAAAUACUUUGGAUGCUGGCAUCACAAAGAAAUGAUAAGUGUUUAAAGUGAUGGGUAUCAUAAUUACCCUGAUUUGAUCAUUACCCUAUGGAUACAUGUAUCAAAACAUCAUAUUUCAGAAAUAAGUACAAGUAUUAUGUGCCAAUUACAAAUUAAAUAAUUUAAAAAUUGAGAAACUUUCAAACUAAAAAGAGGUGUAAGAAUAAUGGGAUGAACGUACAUUGAAAAUAAAUAAUCAACUACUAAUGGAUAGAAACAAAAGAAUGAUGUAGUAAUCAAUAACUUUUCUGAUUAUACAUAAUAUGGAAGGUUACAAUAGAUGGUUGUGCUCUUCCUCCAAAAAGCAUCACCACCAUUUUGAGCUGGCAAACCAAAUGGCAUCGUGUGUUCCCUAGAGGUAAAGGCCCAACAAAGAAGGCCAUGUCUAACCAACAUUUCUUGAAUGAAAAAAAAGUCAUGUUCCCCAAAUGUACAUCUAUUUCUAAAACAAACUUCAAUUUCUAUGAUGGUUAUUUAAAACAUUCACACCAUUCAAAGAUCAAUUUCAAGAGUUUCACGGAAAAGUGAUACACCAUCGGAAAGAAAAGAAAUGUCUUCCUUUUUCAUCUUUGUGUUUCCAUUAGCAUUAACCAUAGUUUGAUGGUUAAUGGUCAUUUUGUCACAACACAUUUCAUUCCAUUCAAUCAAAGGAAGCCUAAUUAUCUUGUUUUCUGAUUCAUCAGUCUAACACACACACACACGCACAAGUGUAUUUGGAAGAAUAUAUAGACAAAUAGAGUUCCUAAGUCACUCUCAUUCUGACAUAGUCAUAUAUACAUACAUAUAUGCAUAUAUACACAUAUUGAUAAAUGAAGAGUUAGCUGUCACCCUAUUAUUUAUGCAUUUAUUUUCACCCACAAAUUUACAUAGAAGCAGAGGGGUCUUAUGAGAGCAAUAUUCAUAUGACCCCUUCCUUUCAAAACCACAAUUAUCUUAUGGUUUGAUGUAGUCUUACCCAAGGAUAGAUUACCAAAUUUGAGGACAAAGAUACAGACCUUAAAAUGAGCACUGGAGGAUAUGGAAUCCCUUGUCUCUGCCCUGUGGUCAACAACAUAUAAGCUCAUUGGUUCUAGCUCUGUAAAGUAGUUGUGGAUCAAAUGUGUUUUACAUCUGGCACCCUGAAGGAAGAUUGUUUUUCCUUAAAAAGUUUGGCUAUAGGAGAUAUAUCUGAACUGCAAUGCUUGGAGUCCAGGUUAAUAUAAUGCAAUGUAUCCUUAGUCCAGUCUAAUUAUAAUGAAAGCAUAGCCUCUGAGGAGCUAUUGUGAUCACAUGGAUUGGGACAGCUGUAAUCUAGAAGCCCAUGGGCAGUAAGUAUAGGUUAGAAAUAAGGGUAGGUAACUAAGGUAUGCCUCUAUGGUUUCCCUGAGCUUAAGCAAGUAGCAGUGCUCAGUUUCCCCAUCAAUGACAGCAAAGAGAGGGCAAUUAAAACAGCAAGGAACAAUUCUGCAGUCAGGCCCCUUUUUUCAUAGGGCAUCCAAGGCUCUCACUUUUGUUGAACACAAAAGCUGUAUCACUGUAAGUUUACAAUACUUCAGUACUUAAGAAAACUGAAGGCCGGGCGCGGUGGCUCACGCCUGUAAUCCCAG